CCUACGGGCGGCUGCAGUGAGGAAUAUUGGUCAAUGGUCGCGAGACUGAACCAGCCAAGCAGCGUGAAGGAGGAAGGUACUGCGGAUCGUAAACCUCUUUUAUCAGGGAAUAAAGUCUGGCACGCGUCCCCUUUUGCGUGUACCUUAUGAAAAAGCAUCGGCUAACUCCGUGCCAGCAGCCGCGGUAAUACGGAGGAUGCGAGCGUUAUCCGGAUUUAUUGGGUGUAAAGGGUGCGCAGGUGGGUUGUUAAGUCAGUGGUGAAAGCUUGCGGCUCAACCGUAGGACUGCGGUUGAUACUGGCAGUCUUGAGUUGAAGAGAGGUAGGCGGAAUGCGCGGUGUAGCGGUGAAAUGCAUAGAUAUCGCGAAGAACUCCGAUUGCGAAGGCAGUAUGCCAA
RNAcentral lists this ribosomal RNA (397 nucleotides) under uncultured bacterium. Its description in RNAcentral is "partial 16S ribosomal RNA". It matches the Rfam family "Bacterial small subunit ribosomal RNA", at positions 338 to 732 of the family's 1533-position model. The record is from RNAcentral.